CCGCGUAGGAAUGUGUCUUGAGGUGGGGGACAACCCUGGGAAACUGGGGCUAAUACCGCAUAUGGGCUGAGGCCCAAAGCCGUGAGGCGCCUUGAGAGCAGCCUGCGUCCGAUUAGCUAGUUGGUGGGGUAAAGGCCUACCAAGGCUGCGAUCGGUAGCUGGUCUGAGAGGACGAUCAGCCACACUGGGACUGAGACACGGCCCAGACUCCUACGGGAGGCAGCAGUGGGGAAUAUUGGACAAUGGGCGCAAGCCUGAUCCAGCCAUGCCGCGUGUGUGAAGAAGGCCUUAUGGUUGUAAAGCACUUUAAGCGAGGAGGAGGCUACUUUAGUUAAUACCUAGAGAUAGUGGACGUUACUCGCAGAAUAAGCACCGGCUAACUCUGUGCCAGCAGCCGCGGUAAUACAGAGGGUGCAAGCGUUAAUCGGAUUUACUGGGCGUAAAGCGCGCGUAGGCGGCUAAUUAAGUCAAAUGUGAAAUCCCCGAGCUUAACUUGGGAAUUGCAUUCGAUACUGGUUAGCUAGAGUGUGGGAGAGGAUGGUAGAAUUCCAGGUGUAGCGGUGAAAUGCGUAGAGAUCUGGAGGAAUACCGAUGGCGAAGGCAGCCAUCUGGCCUAACACUGACGCUGAGGUGCGAAAGCAUGGGGAGCAAACAGGAUUAGAUACCCUGGUAGUCCAUGCCGUAAACGAUGUCUACUAGCCGUUGGGGCCUUUGAGGCUUUAGUGGCGCAGCUAACGCGAUAAGUAGACCGCCUGGGGAGUACGGCCGCAAGACUAAAACUCAAAUGAAUUGACGGGGGCCCGCACAAGCGGUGGAGCAUGUGGUUUAAUUCGAUGCAACGCGAAGAACCUUACCUGGCCUUGACAUAGUAAGAACUUUCCAGAGAUGGAUUGGUGCCUUCGGGAACUUACAUACAGGUGCUGCAUGGCUGUCGUCAGCUCGUGUCGUGAGAUGUUGGGUUAAGUCCCGCAACGAGCGCAACCCUUUUCCUUAUUUGCCAGCGAGUAAUGUCGGGAACUUUAAGGAUACUGCCAGUGACAAACUGGAGGAAGGCGGGGACGACGUCAAGUCAUCAUGGCCCUUACGGCCAGGGCUACACACGUGCUACAAUGGUCGGUACAAAGGGUUGCUACACAGCGAUGUGAUGCUAAUCUCAAAAAGCCGAUCGUAGUCCGGAUUGGAGUCUGCAACUCGACUCCAUGAAGUNGGAAUCGCUAGUAAUCGCGGAUCAGAAUGCCGCGGUGAAUACGUUCCCGGGCCUUGUACACACCGCCCGUCACACCAUGGGAGUUUGUUGCACCAGAAGUAGCUAGCCUAACUGCAAAGAGGGCGGUUACCACGGUGUGGCCGAUGACUGGGGUGAAGU
RNAcentral lists this ribosomal RNA (1366 nucleotides) under Acinetobacter sp. CMC-CF62. RNAcentral's name for it is "bacterial SSU rRNA". It matches the Rfam family "Bacterial small subunit ribosomal RNA", at positions 113 to 1486 of the family's 1533-position model. The record is from RNAcentral. Lineage: Bacteria; Pseudomonadati; Pseudomonadota; Gammaproteobacteria; Moraxellales; Moraxellaceae.